GUAGGUGGCAAGCGUUGUCCGGAAUUAUUGGGCGUAAAGCGCGCGCAGGCGGUUCUUUAAGUCUGAUGUGAAAGCCCACGGCUCAACCGUGGAGGGUCAUUGGAAACUGGAGAACUUGAGUACAGAAGAGGAAAGCGGAAUUCCACGUGUAGCGGUGAAAUGCGUAGAGAUGUGGAGGAACACCAGUGGCGAAGGCGGCUUUCUGGUCUGUAACUGACGCUGAGGCACGAAAGCGUGGGGAGCAAACAGGAUUAGAUACCCUGGUAGUCCACGCCGUAAACGAUGAGUGCUAAGUGUUAGGGGGUUUCCGCCCCCCUUAGUGCUGCAGCUAACGCAUUAAGCACUCCGCCUGGGAUACGGCCGCAAGGCUG
Molecule: ribosomal RNA, 371 nt
Filed under: uncultured organism
Description: partial 16S ribosomal RNA
Rfam family: Bacterial small subunit ribosomal RNA
Source: RNAcentral